UGGCGAACGGGUGAGUAACGCGUGAGGAACCCGCCUCAAAGAGGGGGACAACAGUUGGAAACGACUGCUAAUACCGCAUAAGCCCACGGGUCGGCAUCGACCUGAGGGAAAAGGAGCAAUCCGCUUUGAGAUGGCCUCGCGUCCGAUUAGCUAGUUGGUGAGGUAACGGCCCACCAAGGCGACGAUCGGUAGCCGGACUGAGAGGUUGAACGGCCACAUUGGGACUGAGACACGGCCCAG
This 240-nucleotide ribosomal RNA is filed under the name uncultured bacterium. RNAcentral describes it as "partial 16S ribosomal RNA". It matches the Rfam family "Bacterial small subunit ribosomal RNA", at positions 96 to 334 of the family's 1533-position model. The record is from RNAcentral.